AUCUACGGCUAUGCCACUCUGAACGUGGCCGAUCUCGUCUGAUCUUGGAAGCUAAGCAGGGUCGGGCCUGGUUAGUACUGGAUGAGAGACCACCUAGGAAAACCAGGUGCUAUAGGUG
This 118-nucleotide ribosomal RNA is filed under the name Pteropus alecto (black flying fox). The record is from RNAcentral. Lineage: Eukaryota; Metazoa; Chordata; Mammalia; Chiroptera; Pteropodidae.